Molecule: ribosomal RNA, 324 nt
Filed under: uncultured Chloroflexota bacterium
Lineage: Bacteria; Bacillati; Chloroflexota
Description: bacterial SSU rRNA
Rfam family: Bacterial small subunit ribosomal RNA
Source: RNAcentral
GAUGAACGCUGGCGGCGUGCCUAAUACAUGUAAGUCGAACGGAGUAUGUAGCAAUAUAUACUUAGUGGCGAACGGGUGAGUAACGCGUUGGUGACCUGCCCCGAAGCGUGGGAUAACAGCUCGAAAGGGCUGCUAAUACCGCAUGAGGUCUCUGAGGUUAGAGGCUUAGAGACGAAAGGAGCAAUUCGCUUUGGGAGGGGCCUGCGUCCCAUCAGCUAGUUGGUAAGGUAAAGGCUUACCAAGGCGAAGACGGGUAGGGGGCCUGAGAGGGUGACCCCCCACACUGGCACUGAAACACGGGCCGAGACACCUACGGGAGGGCAG